GUCCAGGACAGGCAGUAGGCGUCAGGGGGCGCCCUAAGGCUCCACGGCAUUUGCCUGUACUGCUGGGACAUCGAGCCUUCCCAAGUCAACCCUGAAGGACCAAGACAACAUCAUCCUUCAGAGGUCACUGAGCGGCAGUGGUCAUCUUGAUAAAGCAGGAGUCUAUUUGAAGGAAACCAUGCUCCAGACAGAAAUAUGUGGAUUGUGAACAUCAAGUGACAUAUCAUGAAUUGAUCAACCACAAAAUAAAUGCAAUACUCCACCAUUUCAGAAAAAUAAACACAGUGCAAG
This 291-nucleotide long non-coding RNA is filed under the name Pan troglodytes (chimpanzee). RNAcentral's name for it is "long non-coding RNA NONPTRT003000". The record is from RNAcentral. Lineage: Eukaryota; Metazoa; Chordata; Mammalia; Primates; Hominidae.